UACGGGGGGGGCAAGCGUUGUUCGGAAUUACUGGGCGUAAAGGGCCCGUAGGUGGCCAACUAAGUCAGACGUGAAAUCCCUCGGCUUAACCGGGGAACUGCGUCUGAUACUGGAUGGCUUGAGUUUGGGAGAGGGACGCGGAAUUCCAGGUGUAGCGGUGAAAUGCGUAGAUAUCUGGAGGAAUACCGGUGGCGAAGGCGGCAUCCUGGACCAAUACUGACGCUGAGGCGCGAAAGCUAGGGGAGCAAACGGG
Molecule: ribosomal RNA, 253 nt
Filed under: uncultured bacterium
Lineage: Bacteria
Description: partial 16S ribosomal RNA
Rfam family: Bacterial small subunit ribosomal RNA
Source: RNAcentral